UAACUUCUCCUUAAAACCAUCCCC
This 24-nucleotide non-coding RNA is filed under the name Arabidopsis thaliana (thale cress). Lineage: Eukaryota; Viridiplantae; Streptophyta; Magnoliopsida; Brassicales; Brassicaceae. The record is from RNAcentral.